UGGGGGAUAUUGCACAAUGGGGGGAACCCUGAUGCAGCGACGCCGCGUGGGCGAUGGAGCGCCUCGGCGCGUAAAGCCCUAUCAGCAGGGAAGAAGAUGACGGUACCUGACUAAGAAGCCCCGGCUAAAUACGUGCC
Molecule: ribosomal RNA, 137 nt
Filed under: uncultured bacterium
Lineage: Bacteria
Description: partial 16S ribosomal RNA
Rfam family: Bacterial small subunit ribosomal RNA
Source: RNAcentral